GGUGCCUGUGCCUGAAGCAGUUUCCUCCGCCCCCUCCCCAUCUGCCUGCAUUCACGCCUCGGGGGAUGGGAGAGGUGAGUGUGCUCUGUUGGAAGCUGGUAACCAGGCAGGUGGAGCCGGGUAAAAUGGCCAGAAGUGGAGGGGGCUUAUUGGUCCCAGUGAACUUUGUUCUCUUGUGCAGACAGUAGGCAGCUGGCCAGUAUAUACUCAGAUUCACUCGUGUAAACUAAAAGUGCAAGUGUGAGCUUUGACCAGAUGGAGCCUGACAUUUGGCUCUUCUCCAAGAUGGGAGAAAAGCUGUGGACGCCUACAAAGAACAGGGGGGUUUUAGGGGUUGAGCAGUUUUCCCAUUCCAGACCGAUUUCUGCUUUUUUUCCUCAGUCAAAGCUAAGGCUGUGAGAAUGACCCAUUUGAUGGAAUGACUGAUAGAGAAUUCCCACAGGGUUAUCACCAAGCGGGUGUGUCCAAAUUGCCAGCUGGGCCACUUGCUUACCUGUUCAAGCUUCCCUGCCUCUUUUUACCAUCCGCUCUCUGCUGCGAGGGGGAGCGCAGGCAGAGUGAUUCUGACCUGCUGCACGGAAGUCUUGUUCUUUUCUUGAAGAUUUCACUGCAUUUUCUCUUGGAAGAGUUUACUGAUUCCUCCAACCAUUCCAUCCACCCUCCAUGCUCCAGUGAGGUAACUGUCCUCCACUUUACUGAAGUCAAUGAAUUCCUUGUCUUUGCUUCACUGUUAUUCCUGAAAUCAAGGAGGGGGUUUUGUCAGUCUCCCUUCUUUGCCGAUGGCAUUCUGUACAGAUUUACUGAUGGGGUAAAUAGUGAGCUUUCAAUUUCUCUGUGUGGCUCCUGUUUUCAAACGCAGUCUCUAAGUUUGGGAAAGUGGAUAACCAGACCAGAAUGUGUGGUCUGUAGGACAGCAGUAUCUUCUUGCUGAAGUGCUUGCGUCACAAGCCGCUGGUCCCAGCAGUGCCUUACGGAGUCAAAGGUGAAGGUACCUAAUUGCAAAGAAUGCAAAAUGCUUCUCUUCUGUCUUAAUGGUGAAAUAUUUCUUUUUCAGAGCACCUCACGUGUGUGAAUGCUUAGCUUCCCCUAGUGUCUGGAAUUAACGGUUAUGCUCUUUGUAUUGGCUGCUCCAUGACGGGCUUUUUCUUAUCCAUCCUGGAUCCCCAGGUUGUGUCCCAGUGAUCCCACGGUGGGAGAUGCACAUUUUGCUGAAUCCGGAAAAAUGCAGCGCCCUUGUCUCCUCCCUGGUGGUGCUUCAGAAUUACCUGGUGUGAUUUUUCCAAAUACAGAUGGAACUCUGCAUGCCACAUAACAGACAGAGGGGUUUCUAUACAUUAAGUCGGAAACUGAAGAGGAUCUUAAACUUUCCCUGUUUUCAAGCUAACAAGUUAGCCUACCACAGUUCCAUGUACAUUUUAUGAAAAGACUUCCCUGGGGGUCCAGCGGCUAAGACUCUGCACUCACAAUGCAAGGGCCCGGGUUUGCUCCCUGGUCGGGAAGUAGAUUCCACAUGCUGCAACUAAGAGUUUGCAUGCUGCAACUAAGAUUCAGCAUAGCCAGAUAAAUAAGUAAAAUACUUAAAAAGACACAAGACCUCUAGGUUAGAGAUAAUGGUCUACCACUCAGCAAAAACAGUGGCCAGAGCAGCAUCUUGCAUUGGGUCCCAUCCCCCACCCCCAACAGAGUGACAUGGUGAGGGCCAGACGGUCCCAGCGCUUGCAGUGGGGUGCACUACAGCAUUAGGAGCUUACAAGGCUACUAACAUAUCUGCCCAUCCUUCCCUCUGGAUAAGCACAUUACUUACAUACCUGGAAUGCAGGCAAGUCUGCAGGAAAUGGGAAGAUAUCUCUAGUUUAAGGUAUCUCUGAGGAGCUACAUCUCCAAAUCUCUUCAGAGGGAUACCCUGUCUCUACAUUCCAAGGAUGUCUAUUAUUUAAACAUAUUCCUUGCAAAUUUGAAGAUGAUUCAGAGAAGUGGAAAGCUAUCUCAUGCUCUUGGAGACUGGAAGAAUUAAUUGUGUUAAAAUGGUCAUCCUACCCAAAGUAAUCUACAGAUUUAAUGUGAUCUCUAUCAAAUUACAUGACAUUUUUCACAGAACUAGAAUGUAUAAUCCUAAAAUUUAUAGAGAACCAUAAAAGGCCCAGACUUGCCAAAGUAAUCAUGAGCAAAAGGAACACAGCUGGAGGCAUAACCCUCCUAGACAAUAUUACAAAGCGACAGUAAUCAAAACAGCAUUGAACUGGUACAAAAACAGACAUAUGGCUCAAUGGAACAGAAUUAGAAACAAAAACAAUAAGCCCACACACCCAUGGUCAGUUAAUCUCCAACAAAGGAGGCAAGAAUAUACAAUGGAGAAAAGACAGUCUCAUCAGCGAGUCGUGCUCAGAAAGCUGGACAGCCUCAUGUAAAUCAGUGAAGUUAGAACACUCUCUCACAUGAUACACAAAAAUAAACUCAAAAUGGCUUAAAGACUUAAAUAUAAG
Molecule: long non-coding RNA, 2483 nt
Organism: Bos indicus x Bos taurus (hybrid cattle)
Lineage: Eukaryota; Metazoa; Chordata; Mammalia; Artiodactyla; Bovidae
Source: Ensembl